RNAcentral lists this ribosomal RNA (355 nucleotides) under Bacillus licheniformis. RNAcentral describes it as "partial 16S ribosomal RNA". It matches the Rfam family "Bacterial small subunit ribosomal RNA", at positions 462 to 816 of the family's 1533-position model. Lineage: Bacteria; Bacillati; Bacillota; Bacilli; Caryophanales; Bacillaceae. The record is from RNAcentral.
CGGUACCUUGACGGUACCUAACCAGANAGCCACGGCUAACUACGUGCCAGCAGCCGCGGUAAUACGUAGGUGGCAAGCGUUGUCCGGAAUUAUUGGGCGUAAAGCGCGCNCAGGCGGUUUCUUAAGUUUGANGUGAAAGCCCCCGGCUCAACCGGGGAGGGUCAUUGGAAACUGGGGAACUUNAGUGCAGAAGAGGANAGUGGAAUUCCACGUGUAGCGGUGAAAUGCGUAGAGAUGUGGAGGAACACCAGUGGCNAAGGCNACUCUCUGGUCUGUAACUGACGNUGAGGCGCGAAAGCGUGGGGAGCGAACAGGAUUAGAUACCCNGGUAGUCCUGUCUCUUAUACACAUNUCC